Zingiber officinale is the source of this 6518-nucleotide long non-coding RNA. RefSeq lists it as uncharacterized. Lineage: Eukaryota; Viridiplantae; Streptophyta; Magnoliopsida; Zingiberales; Zingiberaceae. The transcript has 2 exons. The record is from RefSeq and is a predicted model, not a curated record.
UGUGUUUCUCCCUAUUUUUGGGGCGAUUCUUCUAUCUUGUUUUCCUUGAUUUCUGCGUCUAGUUUAUCUGAUUCUAGAUUUGACUCGUUUAGAUGCAAUGCAAAUUUGUGAUGGUUUAGGAGUGUUUUCCUCGUUUGUUACAUCUAUGAAACCCUUGAAAAUUUGUGAUGCUCUAAGGUUUACUCAAAUGUUUGGAAAACGUCGUCCUUGCAUUCUCUAGCCAUCGCAUGCUCUACUAGUCUAGUUGAUGCUUAGUUGGUUCCUUUUUGGUAGAAUUUGGGGAUCUACUUUGUCUAUGCUUUCUUUCGAAAAUUAAAGUUAUUUUUUUCUUUUUCUUGGCAAACUUAUCUGUGUUCCAAAUCUUUGUUUCAUAUAUUUAGUUGGUUGAACUAAUUUAUUUAUGUAGAUAUAUUUUCCAUUUAUGCUUGUUUUUCUAUUUUGUUGAAUGGUGAAUAUUUUAGCGGAUACUUAUGGGUCAAUAACUUGAGCGGCAUGUCCUAUGCUUUGUGUGGAAAGACUAGAAGGGUAGGAUUUGUCCUCAUAAUUAUAAUUAAGUGAAAUAUGUUGGAAUUUUUUUUUGGCUUAAUGUCAUACCAAGGGAAAAAUAAAUAUCCGGUAGAAAAUUGAUCAGUUAAUUCAAUACAAUAAUAAAUAAAUAAAUGAGAGUUUGCACUUGAUCUAAAAUAAAUUACUACAAGCAAAUGAGAUAUACGAUUUAAAUAAUGAAAAAUCUGUCCUUGGGGCUACGGUGCAGCAGAAGGGUGUCAAGUUGUCACUCAGGCACCUGCAGUUUGAUCCCCAGUUACAACGCAUUUGUUGAGAUUUUUCAAUGGGGCAUGCAACCACGGGAUGCUGGGGCCGUGAGCGCUUCUCAAUUUACCCUAGCGGACGGUGGGAAGCUUCCAUAGGGAUAGGCUGGUCGCCCCAAGUUCGGGGUUACCUGGUUUAUCAUUUUUUUUUUAAAUAAUGAAAAAUCUAAUUUUUCACAAUUCCAUCCAAAAUAUCUUGAAAAAAAAAAUAAAACAAGAUCAGUUUGUUGUGAUCCAAUCCAAAAUGAUUGUAAAUUGAACCAAUUUCCCAACCAGAUUUGUUUCUACCCAUUAUAGCUUGUUUUCUUUGUAAUUUCAUGUUAGGACAUUUUUAUGUGUUGAUAAACAAUUGCUUGUUUACUUUUAAAAGUUUAUGGUUCAUUUCUUAUCCUAUGCCUAUGAUAUUGUGGGCUUCUUGCUCUAUCACAUGAUUGUGUAACCGUUUAUUGGAAGGAAGGGAACUAAUCUUGAGAAAUGUAGUAUUUUAAUUAUUAUUUGUGCCUAUUUUUGUUGUUCCUAUCUUGAUAGCAUCUGAACUUGUAUCAGUUGGUUCUUGCUACAUAGUAUAGAUAUGUGAUAUGAGAUACAAGCUCUUAAGAAAUUCACAGUUUGGUACGUUUAGCACAGAUUGGAUAGACAACUACAGGACUAUUUUCCACAAGUUAGCGAUUUGUAUUUCUACCCUUGUAUCAUUGUUCAUUCUUACAAUAAUUUAAUCAGUUAAUUCUUAAUAUCAAGCUGAUUGAUUUAUGACCUUGUUAUUCAGGGGAGAUCAGGUUACCUGUUUGGACUGUCACUUAUUGCUUAUAAGUUGCUAUUUAAUCAUCUCUUGUUUAUCUAUUUCUUUAGAUCUUUAUGUAUCACACUGAAUUGUGUUUUAGGACUUUAGAAAUUGUGUUUGGGUGGUUUGUUGUCCUGCCCACUCGAUUUUUUCUCUCUUUUUUGAGUUGAACCAGUCAAUGAUCUAGAAAAAUACACAAAAUGAAUGGACCAAACUGUCCUCCAAGUCCUUGUUCAACUGACCAUUCUUAUUUAAUUUUGAAAAUAUUGCACUUUUAUUGAUAAUUAUUAUAAAUCAUAUAGUUGUAAUCAAGGGGGUUUGUUGGCUUCAAACAACACGUCUAGAGUGUGUAUCUGCUGAGAUGUUUUUUUUGGAAACAAGAUUUAUAAUGAAUACUAAUAACAAGAAUGAACAUAAUUGCAGAAAAUAAAAUUAGCUUGGGCUGAAAGAUACAUUUGCCAUGCAGAAUUAGAAGUAAUUUAAUACAUAUAGAAAGUAUAUAGCUUAUCUAGUUGUGACUUUGAAGUUAAACUUCUACUCCCCAUUAGGAUUAAUUAUUAAAUUAAUAUUCACAAAUGUGCUAAAAAUUAUGGCUAAGGUACUUCGGACAUUGGAUGAUAUUAUCAUCUAGUAUAUAGCCUAUUUCCUUAAGAUAUAUUCUCCAUUGCCUUUCUUGGCAUUCAUUGCUUUUGUUGCUCAUUUUAAAGAAGAUGGAUUCAUGGAAUUGCAACAAUGAUGUUGGAUUACAAAGCUGAGGUUCCUUUAAUGAGAAUUUUACUAUUACCAACAUUUCUCAUUAGGUUAUGAUUAUUGAGAUUUAUGUUAUUAUAUAUAUCUUGGUUUCAGAAAAUAUGAAAUGUAGUUUCAAAAGAAUGGAAGGGCUGAUUAAGAUGGAUGAAUAUGAGAUUUUGUUAGUAAUUUUUUUUUGAUAUGUUGAAUCUAUUAUUCAGACAUCAUUUAUAGGAUAAUGGUGCUUUGUUGAAAUGAAGAGAAGCUUCCUGAGUCUUGUGUGACUGUCAUGUGGUCCUUACAUUAAAAAUAUUAUUACACUAUUGCUCCACCAUCUAGUCUUUAUGAAUCUAAGUGUUGGGUUGUUUGGAAACAUGUAGAAAAAAAUAUAUAGCAUUGAUGAGAAUGCUAAAAUAGAGCAAUUUGAUGGAGCUACAAUAUGGGAUAAAAUAAGAGAAAAUAGGUUAAGAAGAUACAAACAACUUCAAAACAAUCCAUAAAUUUUUAUGCAUUUUAAUCUUAUACUAGUUGAAUCAAUUAGAGUGCAAGAUGCAAUGGGUAGUGAGAACAAAAGAAAAUUCUUGCUAACGUUAUAAGAAAACUAAUUUAAUUGAUUUUGAGCAUUAGAGCUCAAUGGAGAGAUUUGAUUCAUAUUUUGGCCCCAAAUAGUUGGGCUGAAUACAGCUUGAUGAUGCUAAUUCUGAUUCUGAUGAUGAUAUCUUGGAUUCCUUCUGCACCUCUUCUCUCUGCUUCUCUUUCUCCAUUUUUUUCUUUCCUUUUUUUUCCAUCAGUAUCAACCUACUCUAGUUGAGGUUAUUUUAUGAUGCAACUUCCCACAAGAACCAAUACUUAACUAUCAUUUUAGGAAUGAUCACAACGUUUUAUGGUACAUUUGAGUUAUUCUUACUGGGCUUGCUCAAAUGAUGAAAGGUAACUAUAACCUGUUUCUAACUGUCUUUAAGCUUCCCCAUUGAAUCUGUUUUAGCUUAUGUAUGAUUUUGAAUGUAACUUUAUUGUUUGGUAGAUAAAGUUUCAAUUGAGUUAUAAUUAUGUUGAUGCAUGAUCAUAUAAACUUAUCUGGUUAUCAGAAUCCAAUUUUCUGACAUAUUGUUUGAUAGUUAUAAUGAUGACCACUUCUUAAAUGUUCUCGCUUGGACUCCCAUGCAUUCCAUGAGUUAUCAAUUAAAAAUCAAUUUAGUAUUUUAUCAAAUGUAGAGAAGCAACAUGUUUUACUCUGGUAAACACUGGUAUAACUUUUGCUUAAAUGCAUUUGAUGUUGCUAGGUAAUUAAAACUAAAAAGUAAUGGAGUUUUUAGUUCUUUUUAAGCUUUUUUGAAUAAGUAGGUGAAUUUUAGCCUGGAGUGUCACAUUUUGGAUGUGUCAUGUGUCUACUUGCCCUCCUUUAUCAAUCUGAGCACAAUCACCAUAGUUGUGCUACUUAUUUUCUCUGACCUAAUGUUGUGUUUUACUCAGCGUUCUAAAAUGCAGCCGCUUAGGCGGGAGGCAGACAUCGCACUGCCUUUGCCUUGAGCGGUACUUUAGGCGAUCAAAGCUAAGGCGAGACGGUGGGUACGCAAGACAACCAAUGAGGCGGGACAACAAAAUUUAAAAAAACAUACUCCCUUUCAAAACAUAAAUAACUCCACAACUCAAGUCAUCUACAACUCAUCUCUUUUUGUCUGGAACCGCCACCACUGCACCUGGAGACUUGUAGUUGUUUUGCCACUGCAACGAGUCUAGGUGUGUCACCUGGCCCAGCGACGAGUCUGGAUGCGUCGCCCAAACGUGUCGCGUGAGCCAAAACAAGGGUAAGAGGGCCAGAGUUAGGUUUUUAACUUAGGAUUUAGGAUUUAAUUAAAUCAUUUUAGGUUAAUAAUUUUAAUCAACCUUAUAUAUAUAUAAAAGAUUAAUGGCGGAAAAUGAGAAAUAAUUGGUUGUGGAACUGAAGCAAAAGUUUAGUAAUAUUGUUUGGGAUUAUGGGGUGUUGUAUUGCAAAGAAAAAUGAGAUUGGAUUAUAUGUAGAUUGUGUAAGAGACUUGUUAAGGGAGGAGUUUAUUGGAUGAAGCAUCAUACUGCGAGUAUUGUAGGAUAAGUUAAAGCAUGUCUUAAAGUAUCCGAUGAAGACAAAAAAAGAGCUUAUCUUUAAAAUUGCAAGAAUAAGAAGCGAGGAAGGGUGGAAGAACUAAAAGAAGAGAGGGCAGAGGUAAAUAUAGACUUUGUAGAGAAUGAUGAUUAUCAAGUGGAGGGAGAUUUUUCUAAAAAGAAGUCAAAGCAUCUUGGACAUAUUGGUAAGUGGGCAUCUACAAUCGAUCCAACAAAAGCAAGACAAUAAAACAUAAAUGAUUCAUUGAAGUUAAAAUUUACAAAUGAUGUGUAUGAGUACCUUGUAAGAUGGAUUUAUGGCGGGAAUUCUUUUUCAUGCAAUUGUCAAUCAAAGCUUUAGACAAUUUGUAGAGGCGGUUGGCCAAUUCAGCUCGGGCUAGAAACCGCCAAGUUAAUAUUCUUUUGAGAGAGCCACUUUUGAAAAAAGAAGUUGAGAGGACUAAAUUAUCUCUAAAAACAUGAAGAAGAGUGGAUGAAAAAUGGAUGUUCAAUUAUGACCAAUGCAUGAAGGAAUUAUAAGAUGAGAAGCAUUAUGAAUUUGUGUUAAUUGCAAAGUAGACACUUUAUUCCUUGGUUCUAUUGAAGAAUCUAUGAAGGCACACAUCGGGGCUUACAUCUUCGAGUUCGUGGAAAAUUAUAUCAAUAAGUCCUUAUAUUGUUCAAGAAGUGAUGGAUAAUGUGAAAUGUUAAUAUGGUGGCGGCAAAGUUGUUGAAGGUUACUCGACCUCAAUUUUUUUGGGCCUCUUGUGCGACUCAUACAAUUAACUUCAUGCUUGAAGCAAUUCAAAAACUACCCAAAUUUAGUGGAAUGCUUGCAAAAGCAAAGGCCUUGACAAUAUUCAUCUAUGCACAUCAUAGAAUUUUGGCUAUUAUGAAGAAAUAUACCAAGAAGAGGGAUACUGUGAGGUUGGGGUGACUAGAUUUGCUACUUGAUUUUUGACCUUAGAAAGUCUCAAAGGAAGAAACAUCAAUUGAGACUUAUGUUUACAUCCGUGAAGUGGAGCAAAACAAAAUUAAGGAGUAUUGUGAAAGGGAAAGCGGCGAAGGCAAUGAUAACAAAUCUCUCUUUUUGGAAUGAUGUUUCUUUGGCUUUGAAUGUUUUCACCCCUUUGGUGAAAGAUUUAUGCCUUGUUGAUGGUGACAAAAAGUCCUCAAUGACCUUUUUAUUAGCCAAGGAAGAGAUUAGAAAUUCACCCUUUUAGUGAAAGUUUUACGCCUUGUUGAAGGUGACAAAAAACCCUCAAUGACCUUUUUAUUGAGUGCACUUAAAAAAGCGAAGGAAGAGAUUAGAAACGCUUUCAAAAAGGAAGUAAUGUCACCCCUAUUUUGAAAAUUAUUGAUGAAAAGUCUAAGAGUAGACUUAUAGUCCUUUGCAUUAUACUGCUUACUUAUUGAAUUUGGUUUUUUACAUCAACAAGCAUACAAAAUGACACCAAUGUUAUGAAUGAGUUCUUGAAUGGUGUUGAGAGAAUUUUUCCACCAACGAGGAGAUGCAAUCCAUCAUUUCUACUGAUGAAUUGUAGAAGUAUAAGAGUAAAUCCACAAACUUUGGAAGAAAAAUGGCGGUCGUGGAAUAUGAGAAGGUGGAUGUGUAUCAUGACUUUGAUCUGAUACAUACCAAACAGAGGAAUAUGUUCAAGACUUCAAGAUUGAAUGAUCUUGUAUAUGUCAAAUUCAACGCCAACCAAUCUUACGAAGAAGAAGAGUAAAAGAGAAAUGAGCGGAGAUUUGCUUCUAUUGUCUCAAGCUAAGCUAGUGAAAACUCAAGGUUGGCUUGUUGAUGGUGGUGAUGAAGAUGAGGUCGAGCCAGGUUCGACACUUGGAGAAUGAUGGCGGAGGCCUCGGGAGCGAAUGAAGUGUACAACCAAGGAGGAAUGCAAGGAACAUCCUCAUUAGAGAACUUGAUGAGGAUUUAGAUACAACAAAGGAGGAGAAUGAAGAUGUUGCUUUUGAGUCCGAUGAUGAGAGGAUUAUGGAUGUAGUUGAUGGUGCAUGUGUAGAUGAUUUAGAAGAUUAGUUAUGUUUAAUAUAGUUCUUGUUGGCUUGUUGCUAUGUUGGAUUAAAAUUUUGAAUUUUAAACUUAGUCUUUUGUAAAA